Molecule: ribosomal RNA, 492 nt
Filed under: uncultured bacterium
Lineage: Bacteria
Description: partial 16S ribosomal RNA
Rfam family: Bacterial small subunit ribosomal RNA
Source: RNAcentral
AGUGAACGCCGGUGGUAGGCCUAACACAUGCAAGUCGAACGGCAGCACAGUAAGAGCUUGCUCUUACGGGUGGCGAGUGGCGGACGGGUGAGGAAUACAUCGGAAUCUACUUUUUCGUGGGGGAUAACGUAGGGAAACUUACGCUAAUACCGCAUACGACCUACGGGUGAAAGCAGGGGAUCUUCGGACCUUGCGCGAUUGAAUGAGCCGAUGUCGGAUUAGCUAGUUGGCGGGGUAAAGGCCCACCAAGGCGACGAUCCGUAGCUGGUCUGAGAGGAUGAUCAGCCACACUGGAACUGAGACACGGUCCAGACUCCUACGGGAGGCAGCAGUGGGGAAUAUUGGACAAUGGGCGCAAGCCUGAUCCAGCCAUACCGCGUGGGUGAAGAAGGCCUUCGGGUUGUAAAGCCCUUUUGUUGGGAAAGAAAAGCAGCAGGUUAAUACCCCGCUGUUCUGACGGUACCCAAAGAAUAAGCACCGGCUAACUUCGUG